Molecule: long non-coding RNA, 2236 nt
Organism: Dipodomys ordii (Ord's kangaroo rat)
Lineage: Eukaryota; Metazoa; Chordata; Mammalia; Rodentia; Heteromyidae
Exons: 2
Source: RefSeq, a predicted model, not a curated record
UCACACCCUCGUGGGGACCUGGGGCAGAGGGGAGGUGGACGAGGGUCGGGGAGUUCACCCCAGGCCCACCUCCAGUCGGGGGGUUCCCGGGGGAAGGUGGAUCCCCCGAGGGGGCUUGACGCGGGGGCCUCCUGCCGUCUUGCUUGGACUGGUGCCUGCGAUCGGAGCCUCCUCGGAGGGGUCCGGCGAGGGCGGGGAGCGCAGGGCGCCGGGCCCUUCUACAGCGCACGCUUUCUCCGGGGACUUUUAUUGAUCGAUUGUUUAAAAUUGUUUCUUUUCCCCCCUGAACAUCAGGAUUCCCCUGGUGCCCAAACCCAAAGUCCCGGGGUUUGGAGCAUCGGUGACCCCGAGGUCUUUGGAGCGCUCUGGUGUAACACCCCGGUACAUCCUCAAAGACUUGAUGGUUUUUUAUGAGGGUUUAGGGACUCUACUUCUGCACCCCUCCCCCCUUCAGAAAUAAAAGAGAAUACAAAGUUGUGUCACCUCCCUGCCCCUCCACCCCCCCCACUUUCGAAAUGUAUUUACCUCAUCGUAGUUGCUGAAAAUUUCCAUUCAAAGAAGAUAGUUGGUGGUGGUGGUGGUGGUGGUGGUGCGUUUUUUUUUUUUUUAAUGUUGACCGAGCUUCCAGCGAUAAAUUCAACACUGUGGAAAUUAAGUCUUGGAGCCGACUACUUCCAGCGAAGUACAGACUUGAUCCAAUGGAGAUUGUUGUUCCAGACCGCCCUACCGUAGAUGCUAGCUCAAAGAAUACCAUGGAGACUGGCCCCACCUCCCAUGACAUCGCACCGAAUGCCAUGGCCCCUGCUGCUCGCCGAGAACGGCUUGGAGACCUGAUUGGACUCCCAGAGAGCGGAAAAAGUUGACUUCCCAUUAGGGGAAGCUGUGUGGUGGUUGCCUUGUGUUCCUGUCACUCUUCUCUGGAAACCUGAUUUCACUUCUGCUCCUUGCCCUGGGUCAAAAGGGACAGCUGGAACCUUCUAGGAAGGUGAUCACUAUAAGUUGUUUCCAGGGGUGUUAGGUCGUGCGAGGAAAUACAAUACCAAGGCAGAAAAAUCCUGUGGCAGCUUGCAUUUGAGAAUUCAGCCGUCAUUAUUUGUGGUGUACGGGUUUUGUGUAAAAUGAGCCAAUCGCACACCCAAAAGUUCCUGUUAAUAGGAAAUUAUGGUCGGAUAUAGCUGUGUGUUCUGGUUAUUUUGAUACCUGCUAUGAAAUUAUGUGUCCAGAAGAGUGCAGUAUAGCCAAGCAGGGUAAUAAAUUUAGGAAUGAAAAGCAGUAAUGAUUUUUUUAAUGAUGGAAAAUCUGUUUCAAACUACAUUUGUAGAGUGUAGAUAGGCUGUGAAAUAUUUCUCUUUCCAACAGUACCCUUAAAAUUGAAUCACUCCAUCACAUACAUAGAAAUUGGGGCUAAUUAUCCAGGAAGCCAAUUACUAAAUGAUCAGUUUUUAAAAUGUAAAUCAUUCUAAAAGGAUUGUGAAGUCUUUUUUAAAUUGAAAAGUGUAUUUUAAGGAUUGGAUUAUUAUAGACACAGAAAACUCUUAUAAACUUUUAAAGUUAGUAUUCGUAUUCUGGAAAAGUAAAAAUAACCCACUUAAAAUGUAUGUGAAAUUGGCAACAAAGGUAGGUUAUAACCUAAUUUUAUGGCUAAAUUCUUUAAGUGUGAGGCCAAAACUGUUUCAGCCUGUAGUGGAAAUAUUCAAACUUUAGCAUAUAGAUUUAAAGAUCAUUUUUCCUAAAAAAAAAAACUUUGAAGUUUGAUUUACUGUAUCAUUUUGAAAUCUUUUAGAAAGAAGGUAUUUUUUGAUUGGGUUCACCUUUAUUAAGCUAAUUCUAAGAUUUUUAUUACCUCUUUUUUGUCAUAAAACAGGAGCUUAUUGUGAGUGAUGCCUGGUUUAAACAAUUUAUUCAACAAGAAAUUAGCUUUGGGUGAGGAUUGUAGAUACAUACUCAAGAGUGCCUAUCUGUGUGAGGAUGGAAACUAUGAGGAUGACUAGAGAAAUUUAAAAUCAUGGAUAAGUAAUUUUAAGAGAUAUACCUGUCAAAACUUCUUAACCAUGCAAAUCUCUUUGUAAUUAGCGCACAAAGCCCUGUAUGGAUGAGGAAGUAGACCAGGAAGCAGGUGAAACUGUGGGUUUUACUGAACACUUUGAUUCAAUGCCUCAAAAGAUUUUGUAUUACUAUUAGAAAAAUAUACCCUAAGAUUAAUUUUUAAAAUAAAGGUGUAUGAUUUUGGUUUUUA